UUUAGCAUGGAAUAAUAAAAUAGGACGUGUGGUUCUAUUUUGUUGGUUUCUAGGACCGCCGUAAUGAUUAAUAGGGAUAGUCGGGGGCGUCAGUAUUCAGCUGUCAGAGGUGAAAUUCUUGGAUUUGCUGAAGACUAACUACUGCGAAAGCAUUCGCCAAGGAUGUUUUCAUUAAUCAGGGAACGAAAGUUAGGGGAUCGAAGACGAUCAGAUACCAUCGUAGUCUUAACCAUAAACUAUGCCGACUAGGGAUCGGACGGGAUUCUAUAAUGACCCGUUCGGCACCUUACGAGAAAUCAAAGUUUUUGGGUUCUGGGGGGAGUAUGGUCGCAAGGCUGAAACUUAAAGAAAUUGACGGAAGGGCACCACAAGGCGUGGAGCCUGCGGCUUAAUUUGACUCGACACGGGGAAACUCACCAGGUCCAGACAAAAUAAGGAUUGACAGAUUGAGAGCUCUUUCUUGAUCUUUUGGAUGGUGGUGCAUGGCCGUUCUUAGUUGGUGGAGUGAUUUGUCUGCUUAAUUGCGAUAACGAACGAGACCUCGGCCCUUAAAUAGCCCGGUCCGCAUUUGCGGGCCGCUGGCUUCUUAAGGGGACUAUCGGCUCAAGCCGAUGGAAGUGCGCGGCAAUAACAGGUCUGUGAUGCCCUUAGAUGUUCUGGGCCGCACGCGCGCUACACUGACAGGGCCAGCGAGUACAUCACCUUAACCGAGAGGUUUGGGUAAUCUUGUUAAACCCUGUCGUGCUGGGGAUAGAGCAUUGCAAUA
Molecule: ribosomal RNA, 766 nt
Filed under: uncultured fungus
Lineage: Eukaryota; Fungi
Description: SSU rRNA
Rfam family: Eukaryotic small subunit ribosomal RNA
Source: RNAcentral